UACGGAGGAUCCAAGCGUUAUCCGGAUUUAUUGGGUUUAAAGGGUGCGCAGGCGGCCCGGUAAGUUAGAGGUGAAAUCCCAUAGCUCAACUAUGGAAUUGCCUCUGAUACUGUCGGGCUAGAGAGUGGUUGCUGUUGGCGGAAUGUGUGGUGUAGCGGUGAAAUGCUUAGAUAUCACACAGAACACCGAUUGCGAAGGCAGCUGACAAAACCACAUCUGACGCUCAGGCACGAAAGCGUGGGGAGCAAACAGG
This 253-nucleotide ribosomal RNA is filed under the name uncultured bacterium. RNAcentral's name for it is "partial 16S ribosomal RNA". It matches the Rfam family "Bacterial small subunit ribosomal RNA", at positions 524 to 776 of the family's 1533-position model. The record is from RNAcentral.